This 1048-nucleotide small RNA is filed under the name uncultured Pelagibacterales bacterium. RNAcentral describes it as "bacterial SSU rRNA". The stretch from base 1 to 658 matches the Rfam family "Bacterial small subunit ribosomal RNA", at positions 867 to 1533 of the family's 1533-position model. The record is from RNAcentral. Lineage: Bacteria; Pseudomonadati; Pseudomonadota; Alphaproteobacteria; Candidatus Pelagibacterales.
CACCGCCUGGGGAGUACGACCGCAAGGUUAAAACUCAAAUGAAUUGACGGGGACCCGCACAAGUAGUGGAGCAUGUGGUUUAAUUCGAAGAUACGCGCAGAACCUUACCAACACUUGACAUGUUCGUCGCGACUUUAAGAGAUUAAAGUUUUCGGUUCGGCCGGACGAAACACAGGUGCUGCAUGGCUGUCGUCAGCUCGUGUCGUGAGAUGUUGGGUUAAGUCCCGCAACGAGCGCAACCCUCACUUUUAGUUGCCAUCAUUUAGUUGGGCACUCUGAAAGAACUGCCAGUGAUAAGCUGGAGGAAGGUGGGGAUGACGUCAAGUCCUCAUGGCCCUUACGUGUUGGGCUACACACGUGCUACAAUGGUAUUUACAACAGGAAGCAAAACGGCGACGUUAAGCAAAUCCUCAAAAAAUACCUCAGUUCGGAUUGCACUCUGCAACUCGAGUGCAUGAAGCUGGAAUUACUAGUAAUCGUGGAUCAGCGUGCCACGGUGAAUGCGUUCCCGGGUCUUGUACACGCCGCCCGUCACACCAUGGGAGUUGGUUCUACCUUAAGGCAAGGUUUAAAACCCUUGACCACGGUAUAGUCAGCGACUGGGGUGAAGUCGUAACAAGGUAGCCGUAGGGGAACCUGCGGCUGGAUUACCUCCUUUCUAAGGAUGAGUAAAAUAAAUUUUUACUCUAAAUAAUUAUACAGGUUAAUGUUGACCGUCCUCAUUUCUCUUCUUAAAACAGUGUUUCUCUUGCAUGGGGGCCGGUAGCUCAGUUGGUUAGAGCACACCCUUGAUAAGGGUGGGGUCGAAAGUUCGAGUCUUUCUCGGCCCACCAAUUUAAGAUCAUGGGGGAUUAGCUCAGCUGGGAGAGCGCCUGAUUUGCAUUCAGGAGGUCAGCGGUUCGAUCCCGCUAUCCUCCACCAAAACACUUAGUUAUAAAAAAUUGUGAAUAUAAAUAAUAAUUAAUAUCAAUAUCUAUAUCCGAACAUUAGUAAUGUUAUUAGCUAAUGUUCAAAAUAAAAAUUUGAUUCAACACAGAAUUUUUUUCUG